GACGAACCGUCCUAACGUUGUUCGGAAUCACUGGGCUUAAAGGGCGCGUAGGCGGGUUCCCAAGUCGGUGGUGAAAUCUUUCGGCCCAACCGGAAAACAGCCGCCGAUACUGGGAGUCUUGAGGGAGGUAGGGGUCGAUGGAACUUCCGGUGGAGCGGUGAAAUGCGUAGAUAUCGGAAGGAACGUCAAUGGCGAAGGCAGCCACCUGGCAUAAUACUGACGCUGAGGCGCGAAAGCGUGGGGAGCGAACAGG
Molecule: ribosomal RNA, 253 nt
Filed under: uncultured bacterium
Lineage: Bacteria
Description: partial 16S ribosomal RNA
Rfam family: Bacterial small subunit ribosomal RNA
Source: RNAcentral